Molecule: non-coding RNA, 686 nt
Organism: Paramuricea clavata
Lineage: Eukaryota; Metazoa; Cnidaria; Anthozoa; Malacalcyonacea; Plexauridae
Source: the annotation of a GenBank genome assembly
UUCAGCGGUGGUUAUUGUUGUUGUUGUUGUCAUCGUGAUCGUGGUACUUCUUAUCGUUGCCAUGGUAGUUUUCUUUCAACUCAGGAAACGAAGACAUCGUCAAGAGGUAGGUCUUAUGGAGUUUCAACUCAAGUAGAUAAACACUGAAGGCUUGAAUGAGAAAAUGAAAACUUCAUUUAUAGACCACUUUGCUAAAUAGUCAAAUAAAAUCAUUGGAUACUAAUGAUUGUGUAUGGAAGAAUGGAGGAUUUGGAGGAUUUGGAAAUAAGAAUGGAUGAUUCCAGCUAUAGAUGAAAUUUUGAUGAAGGCAAGAAAGACGAAAUCCAACACCACAGCUAGAAACAGCGUUAUAGAAUGAGUAAAACUGCAACGAUUGGAUGCUAUAUGUUGUAAAAUGAAGAAAAUAUAGCCCUGUGAAAUUCACUUUCGGCUCAAAAAUGGUUGUUUUCCCGCGCGUGAUGCAAAUAUAUUUACAGGGUUAUAUUGUUCUCAAUUUGCAAUAAUGCAUAACCAAACUUUGGAAUUUUACUCAUUUUAAGAUGCUCUUUCCAGCUGUGGUAAUGGAUUUCUUUCUUCUUGUCUAGAUCAAAAUUUCGUCUUUAGCUGGAAUCAUUCAUUGAUUGAGAAGUUAUUGUGUUGCAAAUAAACACGGGUAAUAGAUAGAUAGAUAGAUAGAUAGAUAGAUA